This 24-nucleotide ribosomal RNA is filed under the name Gentianopsis holopetala. Its description in RNAcentral is "partial 18S ribosomal RNA". The record is from RNAcentral. Lineage: Eukaryota; Viridiplantae; Streptophyta; Magnoliopsida; Gentianales; Gentianaceae.
GGUGAACCUGCGGAAGGWCCAUUG